UUGACCUCAANUCGGGUGAGACUACCCGCUGAACUUAAGCAUAUCAAUAAGCGGAGGAAAAGAAACUAACAAGGAUNCCCUAGUAACUGCGAGUGAAGCGG
This 101-nucleotide ribosomal RNA is filed under the name Russula sp. KGP105. RNAcentral's name for it is "partial 28S ribosomal RNA". It matches the Rfam family "Eukaryotic large subunit ribosomal RNA", at positions 1 to 101 of the family's 3401-position model. The record is from RNAcentral. Lineage: Eukaryota; Fungi; Basidiomycota; Agaricomycetes; Russulales; Russulaceae.